This 101-nucleotide non-coding RNA is filed under the name Clunio marinus. Its description in RNAcentral is "Eukaryotic large subunit ribosomal RNA". It matches the Rfam family "Eukaryotic large subunit ribosomal RNA", at positions 1391 to 1490 of the family's 3401-position model. Lineage: Eukaryota; Metazoa; Arthropoda; Insecta; Diptera; Chironomidae. The record is from Rfam by way of RNAcentral.
AUUAUGGUAUGCGUUGAAGUAUCUAGCGUGAGCUGAUAUGGAGCUUCCAUUAGCACAGAUCUUGGUGGUAGUAGCAAAUAUUCGAAUGAGAUCUUGGAUGG